Non-coding RNA from Manis javanica (Malayan pangolin), 3289 nucleotides. The record is from RefSeq and is a predicted model, not a curated record. Lineage: Eukaryota; Metazoa; Chordata; Mammalia; Pholidota; Manidae.
CAUCUGCAGAGCUCCCCCGCUUUUCCCGUGCGCACAUGGAACAUUCUCCCACACAGACUGUGUUGUAGGCAGAAUUAUAAGAUGACUCUUAUGAUUCUCAUCUUUGUAUAAUCUCCUCCCAGAGUUUGGGUGAAACAUGUAACUAUCAUAAAACAUCACUCACAGAAUUACGAUGUUAUAUGGCAAAGGGACGUUUGAAGAUACAGUUAGUGUUACUAAUAAGUUGAUUCUGGGUUAAUCAAAAGGAAAUUAAACGAGCAACCCAACCAAUCACACAGUCUGGGUCUGGAGGGCAGAGACAGGGAAUCAGAGAUUCAAAGCAGCAGAGAUAUUCUUUUGCAGGCCAGGAAGGGGCAGUCGCCACGUCUUGCAGAGAGCCUUGCGGCAGCGAAUGCUGAAUUAGGGGGCCCCCGGGGGACGCCAGUAGGAAAACGAUCCCUACCAACACCCUGAAUGAGUUAGGAGGAGGACCCCACGUCGAAGGUGAUACCGCCUCGCCGCUGCCGUUUUACAUUCUCCUGGGAUCACAGUGGCAAAUCAAAUGAGAUGCCCAUUCUGGUGGUGCCUCUUAACACAGUGUCAACCGGGACCUAGGUGAGGGGCAUCCCACUUGGGAGCCUACUUCAGCCUUGGCAGAACUGUGCUUCCAUGGUUCCAGUGGCUGCUGACCAUUUACAUGACAAAGGAGGGGCAGCGGCGCGUUUGCCUGUUUUGAGUAUGUACGAUGCAUCCCGCCCUUCAUCUAUUCUGGUGAAUUCUAAAUUCUCAGGAGCCGUUUUACCAGAUGCAGGUGUAACUGGUGUAAAAUUGAUCCGGUUUAGUUACCCAGGUUCCUUUGGUCGGAGCGCCACCUGCUGGUCAGAGGGGGAACACUCUGCUUUUGCUAAGCAGGAACACUGAAAAUGAGUUUUUAGCUGACCUGCCACUUUGCUGAAGUUCCUUACUCGACCAUUUUGCCAGCUCUCUUAUUUCCAUCUACAUGGGAAAGUUUAUCAGUAACUACUUUAAGUCUGUGUUACUUCAAACCAGAGUGGCUCAGUAACCAGCUCAGUAUCCCCUUUUUCAGAACUAUUCUUUUAAUUUGUAAGUAAAUCCUUAGCAACAUUUUUAGUUAAAGAUGAGGCUGUGUUUUCAAUGCACGGCACUUCUGAUGCCAAAUCCUCUAACGGUGGCAGCUAGGGUUCAAUUCUAAAGACUCAGAAUCCAAUAUAUCAAUGUUGGCAACUUUAGGGUCUAUUACAGGGAUAGGACCCAAUACAGCAACAGCAUUGAAGUAAGGCUGUGCAUUCCAGCUAAAGAGUGCCUCACAGCAAGGGGUCCAGAUGCCAGGCUUGAGUUACAGUUGCCCUCCCUUUCUCUCUGUGAUGUAUGUUCUGUUUUUUAUAGGGAACCCCAACCCUAAUGGCAGCUGGGCCUUCUAAUAGCUGGCUUGUCAUAUGAGCAUAUUUCUUGUUAGGUAACCAGCCCCAUGAAAGGCCAUUCUCUAGCCUCACAGAAGCCAUGUGCAAAUCACCAGCCACACUGUUUGCAGUGAAGGAUGCUGAUGCUGGGGAGGGAACACUUUCCUCUACCCUUCCAGGUUCUUCUAGCUAGUCUAAGAAUUAAAUCAACCUGAGAGCACAGGAGAAAAAGACCAGUUUAAUUAUACGUGCACGGAAACCCAAUAAUGAAAUUGAGACUGAAAGAAAUGAUGAAGGCAGGCAGUUUUUAUAUUUUUUAGAUAAAGAGACAACACAUCUGUGAGGAAUUGACAGGACAAAGAAAAUUUAUGAUUGUGAGCUUUAAUUAACAAGGAAUUCUAAACAAUUUGGGUUGGGGUAGUAAAUUUACAAAGCAACAGGUGUAGUUUGUAGAGCCUUCUCAGCUCUGAAUUCCCCCCGUCUGGUGAUAAAGAUGCCUCCUGACCUCCUGGCACAGGGAGAAGAUCUUUCACUGGGAGAUUGAUUUCCUGCUUUCUGGAGCCAAAGGAGGGCCCAAGCAUUCUUGCACUGGCUAUUUCUAAAGUCACUUUUAACUCAAAAUAAUCAGUAUGCCAAAAUGGCACAUUUGGGGGCAACUUGUCCUUGGCCCCUGCACUGUCAAGCUGGUGCAAACCACCCAGAAACUCCUAACACCCGGGGUCACCAAGCAACACUACGAAUGUCUGGACUAAGCGUCAGUGCCAUGUGGGUGCAGCAGAGCAGCUCAGGCCAGUUUCAGGCUUGCUGAGAUGAGCCCCGGCAACAUAGGCAUGGGAAGUCCAUGGAAAUCCGAAAGUAGCGCAGAGGAAUUCUACUCCGAAAUUUCAUAUCCUCAGGGGAGUUCAGAUUAAAUCAGAUCUCUCUCCAUAGUUUUCUUGGCUUGGAAAUUCUCCCCGUUGUCUCCUUGAAAUAACCAACCUGUAUGAAUUUAUACUUUUCUCUCAUCUAAAGAGCAAAGAACCUCCAGGUCUAUGAAAGUCAUGUCAUCAUCCUUGCCCUGCAGACCAGGAGGCUCUGACUGGCUUGGCUUGGUGCUGCAACUCCCCUCUCCCCUCCUAGACUCCAAAGAAAUAUCCUAAUGACUGAUUUCCUAACAUUACUCAUUUUUAACAGAGAAGAGUGGUGGGGAUAAAAAGGAAAUUAUUCUGUUAGGUCCUAUCAGAAAGAGGAUGAAAAUCCCCCCUGAGAUAUCAAAGUAUCAAAUCUUCCUAUAGGAUCAAUGGAGGGACAGUCACCUCAGGCUAAUACUAUUUAGAUAAUAGAAAUACAAAUUUAGAAAGUAAUUCAGAAAAUACAAGUCCAGAAACACUUACAAAAAUAAGACACUUUGUGUCAGGUCUGAAGAUGGCCCUCAGCUGUGAGGUUAGCGGGAGCGACCCUGUUCCUGCUACAGUGGCUCUGACCGCGUUCAUUCCCAGGCUGCCUUUCAUCUGGAAGAGAUGGUCUAAGAAAGAAUGCCGCCGAAGCACUGGAUUCUGUCCUCGCGAGUGAACACCAGGCACAAGGUUCAGAUGAUAGAAGUGGGAAAGCAGGAAUAGACAGAGUUCCAGAUAUGAAGAACUGAAACUGGAUGAAUCCACUCAGCCUGGUGAGCCUGCACCUAUACUUUCACCUAUUCCAGGUUCAUCAUAUCCCCAAAGCACUGAGGCCGAACAGUUUUCCCCAAGAAAUAAAAUCCCAGAUGAAGUAACAGGUUUUUGAGAGAGAAGACUGGAAGGAAUAUUUGCAGAAUAUUACUGUGGAUAAAAUGAAAGUUCCUGUAUCCAGGAUUCUCACCUGGACCUGGUCAACUAGCUCACUACACACAUGUUAAUACUUGUUGUUAUUGA